AUUCUACUCCCUCCGUCCCAAAAUNNGUGACUCAAAAAUGACUCAAUUUUGUACUAAAGUUAGUGUAAAUUUGAGUCAUUUUUGAGUCACUUAUUUUGAGACGGAGGGAGUAUUAA
Molecule: non-coding RNA, 116 nt
Organism: Hordeum vulgare subsp. vulgare (domesticated barley)
Lineage: Eukaryota; Viridiplantae; Streptophyta; Magnoliopsida; Poales; Poaceae
Source: Rfam